CCUACGGGAGGCAGCAGUGGGGAAUAUUGGGCAAUGGGCGCAAGCCUGACCCAGCAACGCCGCGUGAAGGAAGAAGGCCCUCGGGUUGUAAACUUCUUUUAUUCGGGACGAAACAAAUGACGGUACCGACUGAAUAAGCCACGGCUAACUACGUGCCAGCAGCCGCGGGAAUACGUAGGUGGCAAGAGUUAUCCGGAUUUACUGGGUGUAAAGGGCGUGUAGGCGGGAGAGCAAGUCAGACGUGAAAUUCCAGGGCUCAACCCUGGAACUGCGUUUGAAACUGUUCUUCUUGAGUGAUGGAGAGGCAGGCGGAAUGCCGUGUGUAGCGGUGAAAUGCGUAGAUAUACGGAGGAACACCAGUGGCGAAGGCGGCCUGCUGGACAUUAACUGACGCUGAGGCGCGAAAGCGUGGGGAGCAAACAGGAUUAGAUACCCGAGUAGUC
RNAcentral lists this ribosomal RNA (443 nucleotides) under uncultured bacterium. RNAcentral describes it as "partial 16S ribosomal RNA". It matches the Rfam family "Bacterial small subunit ribosomal RNA", at positions 338 to 795 of the family's 1533-position model. The record is from RNAcentral.